UGAGAGCGUUAGGCAAUCGCGGCCGUAUGUCGAAAGACAGCGGGUGAGGAAAGUCCGGGCUCCACAGGGCGAGGAUGCCGGGUAGUUCCCGGUUGAGGCGACUUUAAGGAAAGUGCAACAGAAAUAGACCGCCGUUUGAGGUAAGGGUGGAAAGGUGAGGUAAGAGCUCACCGACCGCGUGGUAACACGGGGUGCCAUGUAAACCCCAUCCGGAGCAACACCGUGGUGAGACAUAUGCGUGGCCCGCGCGUCUCGGGAGGUGGCUUGAAGGGUUCAGAGAUGAUCCCUCUAGAUAAAUGAUUGUCCACGACAGAACCCGGCUUAUCGAUGCUCUCAGAAC
Molecule: RNase P RNA, 340 nt
Filed under: Clostridiaceae bacterium
Lineage: Bacteria; Bacillati; Bacillota; Clostridia; Eubacteriales; Clostridiaceae
Description: RNase P RNA component class A
Rfam family: Bacterial RNase P class A
About the family: Ribonuclease P (RNase P) is a ubiquitous endoribonuclease, found in archaea, bacteria and eukarya as well as chloroplasts and mitochondria. Its best characterised activity is the generation of mature 5'-ends of tRNAs by cleaving the 5'-leader elements of precursor-tRNAs.
Source: RNAcentral